RNAcentral lists this ribosomal RNA (253 nucleotides) under uncultured bacterium. RNAcentral's name for it is "partial 16S ribosomal RNA". It matches the Rfam family "Bacterial small subunit ribosomal RNA", at positions 524 to 776 of the family's 1533-position model. The record is from RNAcentral.
UACGGGGGGGGCAAGCGUUGUUCGGAAUUACUGGGCGUAAAGGGCUCGUAGGCGGCCAACUAAGUCAGACGUGAAAUCCCUCGGCUUAACCGGGGAACUGCGUCUGAUACUGGAUGGCUAGAGUUUGGGAGAGGGAUGCGGAAUUCCAGGUGUAGCGGUGAAAUGCGUAGAUAUCUGGAGGAACACCGGUGGCGAAGGCGGCAUCCUGGACCAACACUGACGCUGAGGAGCGAAAGCCAGGGGAGCAAAUGGG